Molecule: ribosomal RNA, 465 nt
Filed under: Vreelandella stevensii
Lineage: Bacteria; Pseudomonadati; Pseudomonadota; Gammaproteobacteria; Oceanospirillales; Halomonadaceae
Description: partial 16S ribosomal RNA
Rfam family: Bacterial small subunit ribosomal RNA
Source: RNAcentral
CCUACGGGGGGCAGCAGUGUGGAAUAUUGGACAAUGGGGGGAACCCUGAUCCAGCCAUGCCGCGUGUGUGAAGAAGGCCCUCGGGUUGUAAAGCACUUUCAGUGAGGAAGAACGCCUGGUGGUUAAUACCCAUCAGGAAAGACAUCACUCACAGAAGAAGCACCGGCUAACUCCGUGCCAGCAGCCGCGGUAAUACGGAGGGUGCGAGCGUUAAUCGGAAUUACUGGGCGUAAAGCGCGCGUAGGUGGCUUGAUAAGCCGGUUGUGAAAGCCCCGGGCUCAACCUGGGAACGGCAUCCGGAACUGUCAAGCUAGAGUGCAGGAGAGGAAGGUAGAAUUCCCGGUGUAGCGGUGAAAUGCGUAGAGAUCGGGAGGAAUACCAGUGGCGAAGGCGGCCUUCUGGACUGACACUGACACUGAGGUGCGAAAGCGUGGGUAGCAAACAGGAUUAGAUACCCUAGUAGUC